Macadamia integrifolia is the source of this 1170-nucleotide long non-coding RNA. RefSeq lists it as uncharacterized. The transcript has 5 exons. Lineage: Eukaryota; Viridiplantae; Streptophyta; Magnoliopsida; Proteales; Proteaceae. The record is from RefSeq and is a predicted model, not a curated record.
GAGUGUUGCUAUUGGCAAAAUUUGGAGAAGAAAAAGAGAAUGAGCAGAAAAAUUUCUAGGUUAGUGAACAGUUCGCAGUCAUCUUCAAAAGCUUGAUCGAAUGGUCAUCUGUGGUCCGAUUGAACUAAUUUUUUCAGCUUCGCAACACACUGAUCUUCAUUCUGUACGGUGUAAUUGUCGUUUGGAGUUUCCUAACACAGUUUUUCAGCAACGUUUUUGUUGCCCCUGUUUUGGUUCACCCAAGCGGAAAAGAAUUUGUUCUACGCUUUUGUUAACUGGGUACUUCUCUCGGAGCUCCAUUUGUAGUGUUCGCAAGUCUGGUGAUUGAUUGACCUUUGUUCUUUCAUCUAUGACCGCUACAAAGAACAAUAGAAGAAGAUUGAGCCUCUUAAUAGGUUUGACUGAGAAAAUAACAAUGGAGGUCAAGGGAGCGACUCCUAGUUAUUAUUAAAAGAUCCCGUCAUGUUUUCAAGGGAAUUCCACUUCAUCAUCGCCUGACCACUUCAGGGUGACAAAAUGUGGUCUCUACAGUGACUCCCAAUUGAUUGCAAGGCAAGUUCUCAUUGAGUAUGAGGCAAAGGGACCAUAUAUGGCAGAAUAUUUGAAAAAGGGAACACAAAAGUCCUUUCCCUAUCAAGGUUGGCCACCAUGGAUUUCCCCAAGACGGAACAAACUAUAUAUAUGGAGGUUGUCCCAAAAUUAAGCAUUGAAGAGAAAGCGGAGCUCAUUUAAAUUGAAAACAAACUGUUCUCGAUGGACCCAAUUAUUGACUUCCUACAUGGAGCAUCUUGCUCGAGCAGAAAUUAGAGGCAAGAAAAAUCAAGAUCAGACUAGUUCCGUUUACCAUCAUCAAUGGCACACUCUAUAGGAGAUCUAACAUGAUGCCCUACAUGUGGUUUCUCGGACCAUCAAAAGCCGAGUAUACUUUCCGUGAAGUACAUGAAGGACAAUGUGCCCAACACCUCGAAAUAAGAGCCUUAACCUGUAAAAUCUUUAAUCACGGCUACUAAUGGCCGUACAUGGAGAAGGAGUUAAGGACCUUGUAAAAAAUUGUGUGAAGUUCCAACUAUUCUCGCUAGUACUCAACCAGUCCGCUACUUAGCUUUCAUCUCUAUUGAGCCUGUUACCAUUCAUAAUGUGGUGAAUAGAUAUUCUCGAGUUAUUUCCGCA